AACGUACGCUGGCGGCACGCCUAACACAUGCAAGUCGAACGAAGUAGCAAUACUUAGUGGCAGACGGGUGAGUAACAUGUAGGUAUCUGCCCUUUGGCCUGGAAUAACACGAGGAAACUUGUGCUAAUACCGGAUAAGUCUUUACGGAGAAAGCUUUAUGCACCAUUGGAUGAGCCUGCACUUGAUUAGUUUGUUGGUGGGGUAAUGGCCUACCAAGACUGUGAUCAAUAGCUGAUUUGAGAGGAUGAUCAGCCACAUUGGGACUGAGACACGGCCCAAACUCCUACGGGAGGCAGCAGUGGGGAAUCUUGCACAAUGGAGGAAACUCUGAUGCAGCGAUGCCGCGUGAGUGAAGAAGGCCCUUGGGUUGUAAAGCUCUUUCGUCGGGGAAGAAAAUGACUGUACCCGAAUAAGAAGGUCCGGCUAACUUCGUGCCAGCAGCCGCGGUAAUACGAAGGGACCUAGCGUAGUUCGGAAUUACUGGGCUUAAAGAGUUCGUAGGUGGUUGAAAAAGUUAGUGGUGAAAUCCCAGAGCUUAACUCUGGAACUGCCAUUAAAACUUUUCAGCUAGAGUAUGAUAGAGGAAAGCAGAAUUUCUAGUGUAGAGGUGAAAUUCGUAGAUAUUAGAAAGAAUACCAAUUGCGAAGGCAGCUUUCUGGAUCAUUACUGACACUGAGGAGCGAAAGCAUGGGUAGCGAAGAGGAUUAGAUACCCUCGUAGUCCAUGCCGUAAACGAUGUGUGUUAGACGUUGGAAAUUUAUUUUCAGUGUCGCAGGGAAACCGAUAAACACACCGCCUGGGGAGUACGACCGCAAGGUUAAAACUCAAAUGAAUUGACGGGGACCCGCACAAGUAGUGGAGCAUGUGGUUUAAUUCGAAGAUACGCGCAGAACCUUACCAACACUUGACAUGUUCGUCGCGACUCUAAGAGAUUAGAGUUUUCGGUUCGGCCGGACGAAACACAGGUGCUGCAUGGCUGUCGUCAGCUCGUGUCGUGAGAUGUUGGGUUAAGUCCCGCAACGAGCGCAACCCUCACUUUUAGUUGCCAUCAUUAAGUUGGGCACUCUGAAAGAACUGCCAGUGAUAAGCUGGAGGAAGGUGGGGAUGACGUCAAGUCCUCAUGGCCCUUACGUGUUGGGCUACACACGUGCUACAAUGGUAUCUACAACAGGAAGCAAGACUGCGAAGUUAAGCAAAUCCCUAAAAGAUACCUCAGUUCGGAUUGCACUCUGCAACUCGAGUGCAUGAAGCUGGAAUUACUAGUAAUCGUGGAUCAGCGUGCCACGGUGAAUGCGUUCCCGGGUCU
This 1306-nucleotide ribosomal RNA is filed under the name uncultured bacterium. RNAcentral describes it as "bacterial SSU rRNA". It matches the Rfam family "Bacterial small subunit ribosomal RNA", at positions 28 to 1381 of the family's 1533-position model. The record is from RNAcentral.